This 1294-nucleotide ribosomal RNA is filed under the name Arthrobacter sp. R-21941. Its description in RNAcentral is "bacterial SSU rRNA". It matches the Rfam family "Bacterial small subunit ribosomal RNA", at positions 64 to 1368 of the family's 1533-position model. Lineage: Bacteria; Bacillati; Actinomycetota; Actinomycetes; Micrococcales; Micrococcaceae. The record is from RNAcentral.
GAACGAUGAUCCCUAGCUUGCUGGGGGGAUUAGUGGCGAACGGGUGAGUAACACGUGAGUAACCUGCCCUUGACUCUGGGAUAAGCCUGGGAAACUGGGUCUAAUACUGGAUAUGACUGACUAUCGCAUGGUGGUUGGUGGAAAGCUUUUGUGGUUUUGGAUGGACUCGCGGCCUAUCAGCUUGUUGGUGGGGUAAUGGCCUACCAAGGCGACGACGGGUAGCCGGCCUGAGAGGGUGGACGGCCACACUGGGACUGAGACACGGCCCAGACUCCUACGGGAGGCAGCAGUGGGGAAUAUUGCACAAUGGGCGCAAGCCUGAUGCAGCGACGCCGCGUGAGGGAUGAAGGCCUUCGGGUUGUAAACCUCUUUCAGUAGGGAAGAAGCGAAAGUGACGGUACCUGCAGAAGAAGCGCCGGCUAACUACGUGCCAGCAGCCGCGGUAAUACGUAGGGCGCAAGCGUUAUCCGGAAUUAUUGGGCGUAAAGAGCUCGUAGGCGGUUUGUCGCGUCUGCCGUGAAAGUCCGGGGCUUAACUCCGGAUCUGCGGUGGGUACGGGCAGACUUGAGUGAUGUAGGGGAGACUGGAAUUCCUGGUGUAGCGGUGAAAUGCGCAGAUAUCAGGAGGAACACCGAUGGCGAAGGCAGGUCUCUGGGCAUUAACUGACGCUGAGGAGCGAAAGCAUGGGGAGCGAACAGGAUUAGAUACCCUGGUAGUCCAUGCCGUAAACGUUGGGCACUAGGUGUGGGGGACAUUCCACGUUUUCCGCGCCGUAGCUAACGCAUUAAGUGCCCCGCCUGGGGAGUACGGCCGCAAGGCUAAAACUCAAAGGAAUUGACGGGGGCCCGCACAAGCGGCGGAGCAUGCGGAUUAAUUCGAUGCAACGCGAAGAACCUUACCAAGGCUUGACAUGAACCGGAACGGCGCAGAGAUGUGUCGGCCACUUGUGGCCGGUUUACAGGUGGUGCAUGGUUGUCGUCAGCUCGUGUCGUGAGAUGUUGGGUUAAGUCCCGCAACGAGCGCAACCCUCGUUCCAUGUUGCCAGCGGGUUAUGCCGGGGACUCAUGGGAAGACUGCCGGGGUCAACUCGGAGGAAGGUGGGGACGACGUCAAAUCAUCAUGCCCCUUAUGUCUUGGGCUUCACGCAUGCUACAAUGGCCGGUACAAAGGGUUGCGAUGCUGUGAGGUGGAGCUAAUCCCAAAAAGCCGGUCUCAGUUCGGAUUGAGGUCUGCAACUCGACCUCAUGAAGUCGGAGUCGCUAGUAAUCGCAGAUCAGCAACGCUGCGGUGAAUA